UAUAAAACAGGUCCGGGGGACAUUUUCUGCAGACUACACGCAUGGCAGCGUGGCUUUACUAUGGCUCAUGCUCCACCACGUUAUGUUAAACUUAACUUUAAUAUUGUCUUGCUUUGUUUUUUUUUUUUUUUCCUCCGACUAUUAAUAUUGUUAUACUUUAGCCUAAACUGCUUCGAGGCGCGUGGCGUUUUUAAUGUUUAGAGAACAGUGCGUGUCUGAUCCAUGUGACCAGGCCGCAGCUCGAGGGUAAUGUAAACCUACGGCUUUAUUAAGUAUUAUAAUUGGGAUAUUGGCUUCAUAGUGACGAAAGAGGUUCAGUUUCAUUUUUCGUUAUCUGUAAUAGUAUUUUUUUUAUUUAUUUUUUUGAUCACGCGGAUUAAGAAUAACGUGGCCAGUUGCGGAUCCAUGUGCACAGCAUGCGUUUUGCAGCAGAAAUUAUUUAUUGUUUUAUUCAGUGCUUGAGUUAUUAAGAAUGAAUUGGUUGUAGAUGAGCUAAUCUGGAUUAACUAACUUUUGUCUGUUUUAUUCCUUCCUUUUAUGAUUUACCAAUACGUCUUCUAUGGAGAGGUGGAUCUUGCUCUGCACUUUCAGAACUACACCAUGAAGACAACCUCAUUGUGUGAGAAUUCCUCAUUUCACAGCACUGUGAGUAUCUUAUGUGUAAUUUGUAACAAUGAGUCAUCAUGAAUGAUGAUUAUGAUGCGUUAGACUUCUGAAAAAUUGUGUAGAAAAUCUUAAACUGACAUGAAACUGGCUAACUAAAGCAGUUUAUUGUCCUUUAUUUCUUACUCUUAACAUUUAUGAUUUUUUUUUUUUCUCACCCCCCCCUCCCCACAGGGAUCGGACUAUGAUGCCCCAGAGAUGAACAGGUGCUUUUGUAUAUCAAGUGAUAACCUGAAUUAUUGAUAAUAAAUGUUUCAUUACCU
Molecule: long non-coding RNA, 926 nt
Filed under: Gouania willdenowi (blunt-snouted clingfish)
Lineage: Eukaryota; Metazoa; Chordata; Actinopteri; Blenniiformes; Gobiesocidae
Description: lncRNA (ENSGWIG00000001912.1)
Source: RNAcentral